CUUAGAUUUCAUGCUUUAUCGUCUCUGCUUGGGUUAUGGGCUGAUCCUGGGUGACUUCAGCUACUUUAAAACCGAAGAUCCCGAGACAUUGUCGGAAGAGAAGAAAGGAAUCAGUGGACAAGUGGAUUCUGCAAGUGUUUAGUGAGAGCCAUUCUGUGUGUACCUGUGGACUGGGCAGUGGACCUGCAAGACUGUGGAGACAGGAUGGAAUCCCAAAAGGGGCUGCAGACUAGCAUGAAAGACAGAUGUGGCAGAUGGUGAUCGUGUGGGAAAAUCAUGGCAGACGCAAGAGCAGUAUACCAGGAGAGUGGGUGAGGACCAAGCUCGGAUGAAGAAGGACUUUGAGCUUUGCCCUGAACCUGGACAGGAGCCAGGAGACAUGCGGGAACUGCGUGUAAAGGAGUGGAAAGAGCCAACAUAUAACACGCGAUAUGCUUCAGUUCUGAUGAGGAGCCUGUGGUUCCUGUGCUGCUGGGUGCCUGUGCAUGAUCACACAGUCCUGGAGGUAAGAAGUCAAGCAGAUGAACUGAAACUGCCAACAAUCUAGACUCGUGACCAUUUCCAAGGGAAGAGACGUUCUCAUCUCAUCUGGGAUUGCCAGAUGAGUCCCAGCCACUGUAGCCCUACAGAAGCACCUAAACAUGAUGUUAUCUGCCUGUGUGUACCCUCCUCCGUGGUCUAAUGCAACAAAGUAACCAUUUAAACAUCGUGGAUUAGAAGGCGUGGCUCUGCAGUUGGGAGCUGUGUCAUUUUAGGAUGCCCUUGGUGGACCUUGAACAAUUCCUCACGCUGCCUAGCACACCGUUCUCUCUCAGAUUUUCUGACCUUUGAGAGAACCAAAAACAGUGGGCACAGAUGGAGAAGGAUGGCUCUGACAGAGCAGCAGGGACCAGGAAGGUACUGGCCUUGCCACUGUCCAUGCAAAGACAAACAGUGGCUGUGGUGGCCACGGCGGCAGAGUUCUGACGACGACAACACCCAGUGCCAGCUGUUUCACAGAUGUGUUCUGGCCUCCCCAGAAAGUGCACACGAGGCCGGAAGGAAACACUGCCUUGGACUGGAGCCACCGCCUGACACAGCCCUCACUCUCCUCGCCUGCAGUUCAUCCAGGGUGGCACGUGGCUGUUCCCUCAUCUCCCACCCCUCCCAUGCUGAACACUGUCUACAGACCAGCCUAUCUUAGAUGUGAAGUAUUCCACAGUGGACGACAGACUGAUGUUCCCAUCUCUAGUCAGGCUCAGUAGUUUAUGUGUCUCAAUUCCCUUUCCCUUUCUUGCCUGGGAUAGCCAUCCAGGUGCUUUUUGCCUUGUGUUUGGGAUACAGCCAAACUCUCCUGCACAAGGAGGACAUGGUGGAGGUCUUUGCUUGUUCCCAGUCUUAGCCACGUGAGGGCAAAGGAAACACAAGGGGAGGGUGGAGAGGAGCAUGGCUGUCAUUUGGGUCACUGUUCAAGGGUUCCAGUUCUGUCUCAGUUCCUCUUGGGGCAUGUGAUUGUUCACUCAGAUGUCUACCAUCCUGCUAGCCUUCCCAGCCGCAACCCAGUGCCUCAGAAACCUUCUCCUUCACUAGAGUGCAGGCCAGUUCCCAGGGCUAGAAGAAGCAGACACCAGGACUGAACGCCUGGUGUGAGGGAGCAGUCACACACUACUGAGCAGGUGCCUCCUCUGACCUGUGAGGGAAAUGUCACAGAUGGGGAAAGCCAAGCUCUCAGAAGUCACAUAGGCUCCUCAAGCCCACACAAGGGUUGAACUCCAGGGCUUCGUAUAUACACAGAAAGUAUUUACUGUAUUUUACCAGGAACUAAGCAGAGGGCUUGGGCAAUUUGCUGAAAUGUCCAAACCUAGAAUCUUGACAAAGUCUCACCAGAACUCUGAUUUCCACUGAGGUUCAAAGUGAGGUGUCCCUCAUGUGCGCUUGUUUGGAAGGCUGGUGUCCAGCUGGGAGUGCUGUCUUGGGAAUUUGUGGAACUUUGAGGAGGUGGAGCUGGCUGGAGGAAGUGGGUGACCAGCAGCAGGCCUUGGGGUUUUAUGCCCAGCCUCACUUCCUGUUCACAAUCUGCUUCCUGGUCACCUGACUACAGUUGCACAGUGACCACCUGACCUCCUGCUGUGGUCUCUCCAACAGGAGGGACUGUAUCCUUUAAAACUGUAAGCCAGAGGAAGCUUUUCUCUCCCUCAAAUACUUCCUGUCCCAUGUGUGACUGCAGCAACAGGGAAAGUGACAGUAUUGUGUCAUUCUUGGGAGUUUUAGAGAAAAAAAAAAACAAAAUCUUCACAGGGGCCAGAGAAGGACAGCGGGGAACUCAGGCGUGCUAGGCUGGCCCUGGCUUGCCACUGAAUGAGGGAGCUCUGGCAAAUACUUAAACCCCGCCUACCCCCUGCAAGCAGUCAUCCAGCUCAGAGAUCCCAGGAAAGGGGGCCGAAGUCAAAGGAAAAUUGGUACUUACUCCAGAGGGUGUGAUGAGUGGGUUGUCAGGGUGACACUGAGACCCCGGUGUGUUAGGGUUGGCUUCGUCUCUGCAUUGAUGUGCUGGAUGCCAGCUCCGGCUGCACCUGAGUUUUCAGCCAUGAACCAGCAUUGCUCACAGACUGGUGGCCAUGGUCAGAUAAAUUAACCUCCUAUAAGUGCUAAAAUUGUGCAAACACCUCUGCGGGUGUGAAUAACAGCCCCUGCCCCAGCGGCUCACAACUACCAUGGCCUGUGAGGAACAAAGGUAUAGAUAGGGUGGUAACCAUUCACCAACACCUGCUGACCGACAGGCACAAAGCGCAGGACUCAGGAAGCUUGUUUCUUCUCACGUGGCUGUGAGCUGGCUUGUGGCCGAAACAGGGUGGGGCAUCCAUCAGGAGAGCCCCAAAGCUCAUCUCCCAACACAGAAGAUGCUGAGAGGAUGUCUGACCGGUAUCUCACAUGCAGGUUCGCCGUAGCUCUUCUCUGCAGCUUGCAGAGAUGCUGUCACCCGAGGAAGGGCAUGCUUACACAGGGUGGUUCCCAGACCUAGGAGGAGCGGAUAGUCCCUGGAAGCCAGGUCUUGGUAAAUUCCUCCAAAGAAAGAAUUCGCCCCUGACUGCUGCGGAGUGAAGGCAUUCUAAAGAGACCUCUGGUCCCCUUCUGUUGGCUGACAAUUGAGACAAUAGGUCCCAAGGAGCUGGAAUUUCCCCAGGAACCUCACACGGUAGAAGGAAAAAGCUGUCACCUGGUGCCAUCCCCAGGAGGACGUGUCUCCAGAAAGAGAUUUCACACAGUUCUGACAACUUGCCAGACAAGCAUUCCAGAGAGCCUAGAGCCAAGGCAAUGCUGGGCAGUGAUGGGCAGAGCCUUACUUUAGGAGAAAUGCUUGGUUGUACGUGCCUCUUGCCUUCAAUUUAAAACUAAGCCUCACAGCCUGGGGGAGGAUGCAGCCCCUGGACCUCUCUGCUCCUUUCACCGGGUGGCAAUAUUGAAUAUAUCUUCCUGUUUUCUUAAGUCUUGCAUACCUACUGAGGACUGAGAGGUUGCCUUGCCUAGAUGUUGGGGCUACCAAGGCCCAGGCUUUGAUUAGUAUUUCUAAUGACAACAUCUAGCUAUUGAUGUCUCUGGGACUGGCCUUAGCUGCAGUCACUAGCCUAUUUCCACAUUCCCCAGUGAGGUGGUUUGACUGAAAACAACCCCCAUAGCCCCAUAGGGAGUGUGUGGCCUUAUUGGAGGAGAGGUGGCCUUGCUGGAGGAAGUGUGUCACUGGGGGUGGGCUUUGAGGUUUCAGAUGCUCAAGCCAGGCCCAGUGUCUCUCUCUCUUCCUACCCCCUAUAGAUCUGGAUGUGGAACUCCCAGCUACCCCUCCAUUGGAACUCAGCUCCUCCUCCCACAGCCUUGCUUCGACCCCGCUUCCUGUCACAGGUGAUAUGAAUUCAUAACACGCCCCCACGGUUGGGCAUGGUCGUGCAUGCCCGGUGGGACCUAGUCACUUCUGCCUCGUCAUUUCCAGGUCAAAUGUCUCACAUGACCCAGGACCGUGGCUUUACGUGAUUGCAUGAACACAACCAUGUGAUCUACACACAUGCUUAGAAUGGCCACAUGGGCCUGUGCGCAGGCACAGCCCAGCCUUUAUAAGCACAUCUGUCCCUCUCCCUUAUCUUAAUAAAACUCUUGUCAGUGGAUUCUGUCGUGUUUUGUGACUUUUCCUCGCAGGGUAAGAGCGCCGCAAAAAACCAACAACAGGUAUUCCUUUCUGGUAGAAACUUCCCGCUCCAUACCUGGUCUCAGCAUCCUUUUGAGAGAUUCCAUGCCGCCUCGGUGCUAGACACCUGGAGAGU
Molecule: non-coding RNA, 4292 nt
Organism: Peromyscus maniculatus bairdii (prairie deer mouse)
Lineage: Eukaryota; Metazoa; Chordata; Mammalia; Rodentia; Cricetidae
Source: RefSeq, a predicted model, not a curated record